Long non-coding RNA from Camelus dromedarius (Arabian camel), 3099 nucleotides. RefSeq lists it as uncharacterized. The record is from RefSeq and is a predicted model, not a curated record. NCBI's taxonomy places the organism in Eukaryota, Metazoa, Chordata, Mammalia, Artiodactyla, Camelidae. The transcript has 2 exons.
UGAAGUCCCUGGGGAGGGGGCACGGCUGGGAGUCCCCAGAUGUGAGGGCGCAGUGAUGUCCCCGGGGAGGGGGCACGGCUGGGAGUCCCCAGUGGCCCGACUGCAGAAGCAGAUAGCAGAGCCGGUGUUUCACCUGGAUGAACAGAAACCCCCAGAGGAAAGACCACUUCCUCCCUCCAAACCCGCCUGGCCCUGCUGGGUGAGCGACUGCUCAGUGUCCCGGGAAGGUCUCCCAGAAACUGGGGACCCUGGGGCAUUGGGUGUGAACCUUUGCCAGAGCCUGGGCUGCACCCAGAGAGGUGGGGACCGUCCUCAGCCCAAUGCGGGAGAAAGGCCCCAGACCUGUGUUCCCAUCUCUGAGGCCCCAGAGGGAGUUGGUGGGUGGGGAAGGGGCACCCUGCCACAGACCACCGUGCCCUGCACACUAUCCCGAGUGUGCUGGGCGUCACCCUGGGGAGGCAGGAGGAGCCCAGGCAGCCUCGCCUUGUGUCGAGAAGGUGACCCCUUCUCCACCUGCCCCUGGACACGCCCAGAGAGCUGAGGCCAAGACCUGCUGGCUCUCACUGAAGUCUCAGCCCUUCACGCUGGGUUCCCUUCAGUCCAGGCACCCAGGAGGGAAGGGCGCCCACCCCCCGCAGUGGCCUAACUCCGAGGCCACGCUGCUUGGGGUCCUCACUGGUGGGCGGUGUCUCAGAAGAGGCUGCCCACGCUCUCUCGGGUCCCACUUCAUCACGGGAGGCUCGGCCCAGGGAAGGUGGGUCCUGGAGGAGGGGAGGCUGGCAGACCUGCCCCUCUAGGCCCAAAAGGACUUUCUCCAAGCUGGGGCUGGGGGCCAGAACGCAUGACCCUGACCCCAGCCCCAACAGGGAAGACUAGGCGGGUCCCACAUUCCCCUGUUGGGCAGCCGUCCAGAAGGGCGAUGGGCAUUGAGCCCAACCCCACCUGUGCUCCACUGACUCGGGAUUAGGCUCCUGCCAGGUGGAAGACCCCCUCUCUUGGCAGCUAGCAAAGAACUAGGGAUCUGGAGCUUUCCAAAAUAAGCAGGUGAUGUCCCAGGCAUCGCGCCGGGGAACUGUAGGUCCCUUCCAAGGUCCUGGGUGCUGACCGCUGGGUCCUGAGCAGCUCUAACCCUUGGAGCCACACCACCAGCUCUGGUUCUGACGUGGGCAGUUACAGUGUCCUGUGGCACCUGCAGCCCUGGAGAGAGAAUGCUCUUCUGCUUUGCCUGGAGGAAGUCGCACCUUACGACUCCUGCUGAGGGGGCACGAGGGCGGAACAGGACACCUGUGCUCCUGGGAGGACAGAGGGUUGCUCCUGGCCGCACACCGCCGGCUCCCUUGCCAGGCACUGCUGGUCCGGAAGAUUCCAUCUGCCCAGCCCACCCCAGCAGGGGUCCGUGCCGCUGGGCAGCGCCUGCUCCAGACUCCAAUGCUUUGCUGGCUGUUGGCCCCUUCCCACCUUGGAGUCGGUCCUUCCCAACCCAGAGCGCCAGGUCGGCUUGCCUUCCCUCCUCCAGGGCCAACCUUCCCGGGCUCUGUCCCCACGCCUGCUGACAGGAGUCAGAUCGCCCGGGAGAGGGGGCUUCUCCAUGGCCCGCCCUGGGACCCCCAACACCCCAUUUCCUGGACUCAGGUUCUGCUGCCGGGAACAGAAAAGGGGUGUGGGUGAGGGCUGGGGCUUACUGACUAAAGAACUGCACGACCUGAAAGUUAAAAUUAUGUUUUAUCUGGUGGGCUUUCUGAGGACGUCAAGCCGGGAGGCAGAUGGCUCUGAAGGACUGCCCCGAGAGGUCGGGGAGGAGCCAGGACACAGGGGAGCUUUGUAAGACGCCAGGCGGUCGGCACAUCAAAGAUUACUGUUCAUUAAGAUCAACUACCUCGAGGGAAGGAAUUUCAGGUGUCUCUGUGUCUGGGAAGAUGCCAGAGUCUGGGCUCCUUGGAAUCCUUCCUGUGAUGUGCAGCUGAGCUCCUAGGGCCAGUGUCCGGGCUCUCCCCGCCUGAGCCCCUCAGGGCUCAGGGCUCAGGGCUCAGGGCUCAGGGUCCCGGGUGGCUGCCGUGGCUGAGGACUGGGUGGCUGCAACAUCCUUUGCUUACGGACACGGCAGGUGAUAUCGUCCACUCACAGGAGGGCCCGCAGCUGGGGUCAGGUGGCGGGGAGGAAGGGGCAGGCGAUGGCCACCCCAGCUCACACCGCACCUGCCCAGCUGGUUGUGGGCAGGGUCUGCCCCGGGGCCACCCCGUGCCCACAAGCCUGGAGGCCACGGCAAAACCGGACGGGGGGCUGAUUUCCAGGGCAGGGGGGUCUCCUCCACCUGAAAAGCAGGGACCGCCGGGGCCGUCCCUCCACAGGUGGACCAAGGGCUCCUGCAGCCCUCCCACUGACGGGGACCCCGGGGUUGAGGGCUACGGACCACCAAAUGCAGCCUCAUGGUGGGGUCUCAGACAGCCCCAGAGCCCCCGGGACGUGGGGCUGACACCCACCUCACACGCUGGGACCAGCGGGGACUCACUUUCUUCAGUCCCUGCAGACCUCACUCUAGCAACCAGUCAGCUGCGACGUGAGCCUCAAAGCCUGCUGGCCCCACUCCCAGCUCUGAAACAGCCCUGUAACUUCUCAGGAAUGUCUUUGUCUUUGUAACCCCCACCGUGUUUACUUCCCUCGGAGCACAUUUGACUUGCUACUCGAAUGUGUGCCUCCCAGUUGCAGAUCCUAAAGCUCCCCCAAAAAGCCUUUUCUCUCUUUUGCAGGCUUCUGCGGGCUUUCUCUCUCUCUCUGUCUCGUUUUUUUUUUUUCUCGACAGGCAAGGGAGUUGGACCGAGCACAGCCCGCCCCCACAGGGCCCAUCUUGGGCCGGGGCUCAGGCCCCUGGGCAGCAGAGCAGGAGGGAGAGGUGGGGCUGGGCUGUCUCAGGGGCAGGCGGGAGCUCUCAGCAGGGCGCCCUCCCCAGGUGAGAACACAGCAGCCUCACACAGGAACGCCGGCUUUUAUUCAGCUGUAGACGGGGGUGUGUAUAAACUGCUGUGAAGGGGUGGCCGCGGGCAGCUACUAGUAUCCUCCAUACUCCUUUAUGAUCUGUGAAACCGCCUGGAAAAUCAUCAG